Long non-coding RNA from Octopus sinensis (East Asian common octopus), 458 nucleotides. RefSeq lists it as uncharacterized. The record is from RefSeq and is a predicted model, not a curated record. The transcript has 2 exons. Lineage: Eukaryota; Metazoa; Mollusca; Cephalopoda; Octopoda; Octopodidae.
UUCAAAUCCCACAGAAGCCAACUUUGCCAUUCAUCCUUUUGUGGUCAAUACAAUAAAGUACAAGUCAAGUACUAAGGUCAAUGGUAUCAAGUAAACCCUUCCCUUCAAACAUUUCUGGUUUUGUACCAAAAUCAUAAACUAUUAAUAUUAUUGUCACGUCAAGGGGGCAAGCUAGCAGAAUUGUUAGAGAGUUGGAAAAUAUCAUGUGAUAUUUGUUUUAGCUCAACGAUUUUGAGUUCAAAUCCCACCAAUGUCAACUUAGCCAUUCAGCCAUCUGAGGUCAAUAAAAUAAAAUACCAGUCAAGCACUGAGGUCAAUAAAAUCAACUGCUUCUCUCCCCUUAAACUCCAGGUUUUAUGCCUAUGUUGGAAAUAAUAGUUGCCGCAUAAAUGUAAAUAAUUAUAAAAUUCCAGAUAAAAAUGAUUUACAGUAUUUUUGUCUGUCCAUUAAUUGACCAG